AUGUUGAACCGCAUGGUUCUACAGUGAAAGACGGUCUUGCUGUCACUUAUAGAUGGACCCGCGCCGUAUUAGCUAGUUGGUGGGGUAACGGCCUACCAAGGCGACGAUACGUAGCCGACCUGAGAGGGUGAUCGGCCACACUGGAACUGAGACACGGUCCAGACUCCUACGGGAGGCAGCAGUAGGGAAUCUUCCGCAAUGGGCGAAAGCCUGACGGAGCAACGCCGCGUGAGUGAUGAAGGUCUUCGGAUCGUAAAGCUCUGUUGUUAGGGAAGAACAAAUGUGUAAGUAACUGUGCACAUCUUGACGGUACCUAACCAGAAAGCCACGGCUAACUACGUGCCAGCAGCCGCGGUAAUACGUAGGUGGCAAGCGUUAUCCGGAAUUAUUGGGCGUAAAGCGCGCGUAGGCGGUUUUUUAAGUCUGAUGUGAAAGCCCACGGCUCAACCGUGGAGGGUCAUUGGAAACUGGAAAACUUGAGUGCAGAAAAAGAAAGUGGAAUUCCAUGUGUAGCGGUGAAAUGCGCAGAGAUAUGGAGGAACACCAGUGGCGAAAGCGGCUUUCUGGUCUGCAACUGACGCUGAUGUGCGAAAGCGUGGGGAUCAAACAGGAUUAGAUACCCUGGUAGUCCACGCCGUAAACGAUGAGUGCUAAGUGUUAUGGGGUGUCCGCCCCUUAAUGCUGCAGCUAACGCAUUAAGCACUCCCCCCGGGGAGUACGGUCGCAAGACUGAAACUCAUAGGAAUUGACGGGGACGCGCACAAACGGUGGAGCAUGUGGUGUAAUUCUAAGCAACGCGGAGAACCUUACCAAAUCUUGACAUCCUUUGACCGCUCUCGAAAUAGAGUUUUCUUCUUCCGAAGAGAGAAUGACAAGGUGGUGCAUGGGUGGUCGUCACCUCCUGUCGUGGAGAUGUUGGGUUAAGUUCCUCCACCCACCGCAACCGCUGG
RNAcentral lists this ribosomal RNA (950 nucleotides) under Staphylococcus pseudintermedius. RNAcentral describes it as "bacterial SSU rRNA". It matches the Rfam family "Bacterial small subunit ribosomal RNA", at positions 173 to 1114 of the family's 1533-position model. Lineage: Bacteria; Bacillati; Bacillota; Bacilli; Caryophanales; Staphylococcaceae. The record is from RNAcentral.